Molecule: ribosomal RNA, 253 nt
Filed under: uncultured bacterium
Lineage: Bacteria
Description: partial 16S ribosomal RNA
Rfam family: Bacterial small subunit ribosomal RNA
Source: RNAcentral
UACGAAGGGGGCUAGCGUUGCUCGGAAUCACUGGGCGUAAAGCGCACGUAGGCGGAUCGUUAAGUCAGGGGUGAAAUCCUGGAGCUCAACUCCAGAACUGCCUUUGAUACUGGCGACCUUGAGUUCGGGAGAGGUGAGUGGAACUGCGAGUGUAGAGGUGAAAUUCGUAGAUAUUCGCAAGAACACCAGUGGCGAAGGCGGCUCACUGGCCCGAUACUGACGCUGAGGUGCCAAAGCGUGGGGAGCAAACAGG